UUGGAGGGCAAGUCUGGUGCCAGCAGCCGCGGUAAUUCCAGCUCCAAUAGCGUAUAUUAAAGUUGUUGCAGUUAAAAAGCUCGUAGUUGAAUUUCGGGGUCUGUCUAUCGGUCGGGCUUCACUGUCCGUACUGGUUUGAUGGAUUCUUACCUUCUGAAUAACCAUCAUGCCAUUAAUUUGGUGCGUUGGGGAAGCAGAGCUAUUACCUUGAAAAAAUUAGAGUGCUUAAAGCAGGCUAGCGCUUGAAUAGAUUAGCAUGGAAUAAUGAAAUAGGACGGCAUGGUUCUAUUUUGUUGGUUUCUAGGAUCACCGUAAUGAUUAAUAGGGAUAGUUGGGGGCAUUAGUAUUCAAUUGUCAGAGGUGAAAUUCUUGGAUUUAUUGAAGACUAACUACUGCGAAAGCAUUUGCCAAGGAUGUUUUCAUUAAUCAAGAACGAAAGUUAGGGGAUCGAAGACGAUCAGAUACCGUCGUAGUCUUAACCAUAAACUAUGCCGACUAGGGAUCGGACGAAGUAAUUAUGG
This 521-nucleotide ribosomal RNA is filed under the name uncultured Acaulospora. Its description in RNAcentral is "SSU rRNA". It matches the Rfam family "Eukaryotic small subunit ribosomal RNA", at positions 548 to 1071 of the family's 1831-position model. The record is from RNAcentral. Lineage: Eukaryota; Fungi; Glomeromycota; Glomeromycetes; Diversisporales; Acaulosporaceae.